Molecule: ribosomal RNA, 375 nt
Filed under: uncultured Pseudomonas sp.
Lineage: Bacteria; Pseudomonadati; Pseudomonadota; Gammaproteobacteria; Pseudomonadales; Pseudomonadaceae
Description: bacterial SSU rRNA
Rfam family: Bacterial small subunit ribosomal RNA
Source: RNAcentral
UGGAUUGGUGGCCUUCGGGAACUCUGACACAGGUGCUGCAUGGCUGUCGUCAGCUCGUGCGUGAGAUGUUGGGUUAAGUCCGUAACGAGCGCAACCCUUGUCCUUAGUUACCAGCACGUUAUGGUGGGCACUCUAAGGAGACUGCCGGUGACAAACCGGAGGAAGGUGGGGAUGACGUCAAGUCAUCAUGGCCCUUACGGCCUGGGCUACACACGUGCUACAAUGGUCGGUACAAAGGGUUGCCAAGCCGCGAGGUGGAGCUAAUCCCAUAAAACCGAUCGUAGUCCGGAUCGCAGUCUGCAACUCGACUGCGUGAAGUCGGAAUCGCUAGUAAUCGUGAAUCAGAAUGUCACGGUGAAUACGUUCCCGGGCCUU